AAGGAUGAGAAGCUUCGACUAAGGUUCGAUUCGAACGCAGCGAGAAAGCGUUGCCGCAGGCAACGACCCGAAGGGCGAAGCGCGCAGCGCUGAGUCAUCCUUCCCCCACCACCA
This 114-nucleotide small RNA is filed under the name Salmonella enterica. RNAcentral describes it as "partial RtT sRNA". It matches the Rfam family "RtT RNA", at positions 18 to 130 of the family's 130-position model. From Rfam's summary of the family: This family represents a bacterial cis-regulatory element known as RtT RNA. The exact function of RtT is unknown although it is thought that it may be involved in changing the cellular response in relation to amino acid starvation. The record is from RNAcentral. Lineage: Bacteria; Pseudomonadati; Pseudomonadota; Gammaproteobacteria; Enterobacterales; Enterobacteriaceae. RNAcentral also lists the same sequence under 1 other name.